GCCCUUGUAGCUCAGCCUGGAUAGAGCGACUGCCUUCUAAGCAGUAGGUCGCAGGUUCAAAUCCUGUCAAGGGCA
Molecule: transfer RNA, 75 nt
Filed under: Nanobdellota archaeon
Lineage: Archaea; Nanobdellati; Nanobdellota
Description: tRNA-Arg
Rfam family: tRNA
About the family: Transfer RNA (tRNA) molecules are approximately 80 nucleotides in length. Their secondary structure includes four short double-helical elements and three loops (D, anti-codon, and T loops). Further hydrogen bonds mediate the characteristic L-shaped molecular structure. tRNAs have two regions of fundamental functional importance: the anti-codon, which is responsible for specific mRNA codon recognition, and the 3' end, to which the tRNAs corresponding amino acid is attached (by aminoacyl-tRNA synthetases). tRNAs cope with the degeneracy of the genetic code in two manners: having more than one tRNA (with a specific anti-codon) for a particular amino acid; and 'wobble' base-pairing, i.e. permitting non-standard base-pairing at the 3rd anti-codon position.
Source: RNAcentral